This is a long non-coding RNA of Strigops habroptila (Kakapo), 653 nucleotides long. RefSeq lists it as uncharacterized. Lineage: Eukaryota; Metazoa; Chordata; Aves; Psittaciformes; Psittacidae. The transcript has 3 exons. The record is from RefSeq and is a predicted model, not a curated record.
UUUAUGCCUGUUUUAUUUAGCUGCAAUCCAGUUUAAUGGAGCUGGAGCGACUGCACCAGGCCCGGCCCAUGCCCCAGGAUGGACCUGAGCCCCCCACGAAGCUUUAUGCCUGUUUUAUUUAGCUGCAAUCCAGUUUAAUGGAGCUGGAGCGACUGCACCAGGCCCGGCCCAUGCCCCAGGAUGGACCUGAGCCCCCCACGAAGCUUUAUGCCUGUUUUAUUUAACUGCAAUCCAGUUUAAUGGAGCUGGUGUGGCUGCACCAGGCCCGGCCCACACCCCAUGAAGGACCUGAGCCCCCCACGAAGGUGAGACCCACAGCCACCCCCACACUGCCCCAUGGUGACCCAGUGACACCCAUAGAUAACCCACAGCGACCCAGACACCCUCCUCCCCCUCAUCCCCAUAGUGCCCUGUAGACCCACAACAUGUGUUCCCCAGCUUUUAUUGACUCCUGACGUCCUGAUGUCACCAGGACCGCGAUGACAUCAUCAGUAUCAUCAAUGACCCAGCGCCCUUUAGGGCCCCUGCUGCCCAUCCGCAACCCAUAAAUUGUAAUUUACUUUGUAAUUUUGUCUGUUUCAUUCACUUUGUAAUUACUUUGUGAUGUAUCCAGGGUGCUUGUGGGUCUAAAGGAGGGCUCAGGGUGGUGCCAA